Molecule: unclassified non-coding RNA, 226 nt
Filed under: Hevea brasiliensis (rubber tree)
Lineage: Eukaryota; Viridiplantae; Streptophyta; Magnoliopsida; Malpighiales; Euphorbiaceae
Source: RNAcentral
ACUUGUUACUUGUACAUUCAUACUCAGCAAUUCACAUUGGCCCCUUAUGCCGAUUGUACAGCUUCAUCAUGAACUCUCCUCUUCCUGGAUAUAGAGAAGUCUUCUACUCUCUAGCUGCAAGAACUGCUGGUCCUUCCACCUUGAAAGUAGCACCCCAGAUUUCUUCCUCCUCAGCAGGCACUGCAGUGAUCUUAUUCUUAGGAUUCUCAAAGCUUCUCAGUUCUCC